AAGUCGUAACAAGGUUUCCGUAGGUGAACCUGCGGAAGGAUCAUUAGCAAUGAUAAGAAUCGACCUGUGGAAAAGCGAGGGCUCGCAAGAGCGCUCAUGUUCUCUCAGCAAGCGAGUGAGUGGGUGAGUGAGUGGAAGCGAGCGAGUGAGUGGGUGAGUGAGUGAAGCGAGCGAGUGAGUGGGUGAAGCGAGUGGGUGUCAGCAGCAGCCGACACUCGUGCCGCAGUAGCCCGCUCGCUUCCACUCACCCACCCACUCACUCGCGCACUCGCCCGCUUGCUGAGAGACAUUGACAACAACAACAACCAUGAUAGAUAGACAAACAACACAGUAUGACAACAGAGAACAACUUUUAACAAUGGAUCUCUUGGCUCUU
Molecule: unclassified non-coding RNA, 376 nt
Filed under: fungal sp.
Lineage: Eukaryota; Fungi
Description: partial internal transcribed spacer region
Rfam family: Eukaryotic small subunit ribosomal RNA (bases 1-46)
Source: RNAcentral